RNAcentral lists this ribosomal RNA (468 nucleotides) under uncultured bacterium. Its description in RNAcentral is "partial 16S ribosomal RNA". It matches the Rfam family "Bacterial small subunit ribosomal RNA", at positions 28 to 507 of the family's 1533-position model. The record is from RNAcentral.
GACGAACGCUGGCGGCGUGCUUAACACAUGCAAGUCGAACGGAAAGGCCCUGCUUUUGUGGGGUGCUCGAGUGGCGAACGGGUGAGUAACACGUGAGUAACCUGCCCUUGACUUUGGGAUAACUUCAGGAAACUGGGGCUAUUACCGGAUAGGAGCUCCUGCUGCAUGUGGGGGGUUGGAAAGUUUCGGCGGUUGGGGAUGGACUCGCGGCUUAUCAGCUUGUUGGUGGGGUAGUGGCUUACCAAGGCUUUGACGGGUAGCCGGCCUGAGAGGGUGACCGGCCACAUUGGGACUGAGAUACGGCCCAGACUCCUACGGGAGGCAGCAGUGGGGAAUAUUGCACAAUGGGCGGAAGCCUGAUGCAGCAACGCCGCGUGCGGGAUGACGGCCUUCGGGUUGUAAACCGCUUUCGCCUGUGACGAAGCGUGAGUGACGGUAAUGGGUAAAGAAGCACCGGCUAACUACGUG